UGCCAGCCGCCGCGGUAAUACAGAGGGUGCGAGCGUUGAUCGGAAUUAUUGGGCGUAAAGGGCGCGUAGGCGGUUUAGUGUGUCAUGUGUGAAAUACCUGGGCUCAACCUGGGGGUGUCAUGUGAAACUGCUAGACUAGAGUGCAGUAGAGGCAAGUAGAAUUUCCAGUGUAGCGGUGAAAUGCGUAGAUAUUGGAAGGAAUACCGAUGGCGAAGGCAGCUUGCUGGCCUGCAACUGACGCUGAGGCGCGAAAGCGUGGGUAGCAAACAGGAUUAGAUA
This 279-nucleotide ribosomal RNA is filed under the name uncultured bacterium. RNAcentral's name for it is "partial 16S ribosomal RNA". It matches the Rfam family "Bacterial small subunit ribosomal RNA", at positions 506 to 784 of the family's 1533-position model. The record is from RNAcentral.